Molecule: long non-coding RNA, 367 nt
Organism: Trichomycterus rosablanca
Lineage: Eukaryota; Metazoa; Chordata; Actinopteri; Siluriformes; Trichomycteridae
Exons: 2
Source: RefSeq, a predicted model, not a curated record
UUUGGGUUAUCUUCCACCAUUAUUUCCGGAGGGCGAGGUGGACAUAGCAGUCCCAUCAGUAGCUCAUCACAUGAGGAGGUGUAGGAAGAUGUGGAGGAACACGCGCAUCGCUCUCCGCCAAGCCCAAGCGACCACGGUCAUCUCCGGGAAUAGACGGCGACGGCCGAGCCCGCUGUACAAGGUGGGAGCGGUCCAGGCGAUACUGGAGAUUGGGACACUUACGUUUUAGAAGCCCUGGAACCGACUCCGUUCGUCUGGACAUGUGUUAUGUGCUUAUGAACAUUAACUUCCUUUACUUACGCUGUAGUAUUUUGUUACAUUGCUGAUUGUAGUUUGGGGUACUGGUAUUAAAACCCUCUUUCAUUGA